CCCUACUCUAAAAUUUGUUCAAAGUCAGUAAAGACAGAAGUUUGUCGGCUAAGACAUCCCAAUAGUUCAGAUAACUCCAAGGGGAGGCUGUCCUCCCCUGGUGACUUACCCUCUUAAAAUGUUUCAGUCCUUUAUCAAUUUCUGUCAUUGUCAGGUGUUGAGUAAGGUCCUGUCAAUGUAUGUUAAAAUGUCCCCCAUGGUUUCCUCACACAAAUAUUUUACUCCAAACAGUUCCCCAUAAGCAUCCUCGACUACUACUUUUAUUCCCUCUAUCUGUUUUUAAAACCCAUCUUUGUUUUUAAUCCUGUCAUUGUCAUACCCUUUCUAACUAUUUUCUUAAAGUGCCUCGUACACUUCUCCCCUUCUAAUUCCCUCUCCUUACUUCUUAAAAUAACCCCCUACUUUUCUGUUUUGCUAAAAAUGCCAUUUCCUUCUUUAAUUUCAUGGUUAAAAUUUUAAAUCAAAGACAUCAGAUGAUUAAAAGGUUCUAUUAAACUCUCAGCAAAAAAAAAAAAACCACCACAAAUACUCAAAACAAGGCAUUUAAAUCACAAAACAAACGGAAACCCAAAUUAUAACCCAGGGGAGCACCGUCCCUUCCUUAGGCGGCCCACUAGGACAUGGGCUGCCACCUUGUAGUCUGCGCACAAUAGCGUAAUGGGCCUGUAGUUCCCUAGGUUAUACUUUCCCCUUUCUUGAAAGGCAGUGUCAAGACCCCAGAAGCCUUGAUACACUCCUUUUUUUCCCCGAAAGAAAAUCUCUGCCCAAUAUUUUCCAAAAGGUAACAUAAAACUCCAGAGCAUGCCUAUCGUAACCUGGAACCUUGUCAGUUGGUAAAACCCACAAAGCAGCCUCAACCUCCGCAAGCUCGAACGGGCGGUCAAGAUCAGAGGCUGCCUCCGGGGGAACCUUUUCCCUCAAAAACCCUAAGACGACAUGUUCUGUUGAGCCAUCUAUGUCCUUCUCCUUAAAAUAUUAUUGGUAGGAGGACGCUGCUUCUACCAUGCCCUUGGGGUCAGAAACCAUUCCCCCCCUUCUGUUUGCAGCUGAGCAAUACCUGCUUUGGCACGGUCAACUUUAACUUGUUUUAAAAAAUAUGAACUGCUAGCCUCCCCAAACUCGAACUUGUCUGUUUGACACCUAAAGAGAAAGUCCCUGGCCUUCCCCUGAAAAUACAGCCCCAACUUACUUUUUAAAACCUCCAUCCUCUCCACAUCACUCCCCUCACCCUUGUUCUCAGCUGACACCAAGGCAAUCAGCUCCCCCUGAAGCCGUUGAAAAACCUCCCUAUCUGUACGGGCCGUAGCGACACAAUGUGAAAUGGCCAGGGUGCGCACAUUGCGCUUUACACACCCCCAUUCGACUAGGGAACCAAAAAAUGGCUUGAGGUCACCCAAUAUCUCAUAAUGGGAUUUAAAAGCCUCCCUAAAAGAAAGAUAUGCCAAAAUGUGGUUGUUUAAUUCCCAAAAACCUCUGCCAAAAAUUGGCACUUCUACCGAGAACACUACCUGGGCUGGAGAAAUGGUGACUUGCGAGACUGGCACAGAUAGUUAAAAAAAAUCAAAUCUACAAGACUACGGAAACCCCUUGUGAUUUCCCAUGUCAUACCCUCCUCCCCAUUGGGGUCACUGAAUCUGAAAUAGUCCCUAAAAGAAAAAAAUGUAACCACAGAAACCAAAUAGGGUAGGCUAAAGUCUCCAGUGCUUUCGAAGGAGUCAAUGAAAUCCCCGCCCAAAACCACAGUUCUGUUAGUAACGCCAACAUCUGGCAGGAACAAAAAAAAUAUAUUCUACCUCGAGGUUCAGCAG
This is a long non-coding RNA of Oncorhynchus tshawytscha (Chinook salmon), 1808 nucleotides long. The record is from Ensembl. NCBI's taxonomy places the organism in Eukaryota, Metazoa, Chordata, Actinopteri, Salmoniformes, Salmonidae.